Molecule: ribosomal RNA, 492 nt
Filed under: uncultured bacterium
Lineage: Bacteria
Description: partial 16S ribosomal RNA
Rfam family: Bacterial small subunit ribosomal RNA
Source: RNAcentral
AGUGAACGCUGGCGGUAGGCCUAACACAUGCAAGUCGAACGGCAGCACAGUAAGAGCUUGCUCUUACGGGUGGCGAGUGGCGGACGGGUGAGGAAUACAUCGGAAUCUACUUUUUCGUGGGGGAUAACGUAGGGAAACUUACGCUAAUACCGCAUACGACCUACGGGUGAAAGCAGGGGAUCUUCGGACCUUGCGCGAUUGAAUGAGCCGAUGUCGGAUUAGCUAGUUGGCGGGGUAAAGGCCCUCCAAGGCGACGAUCCGUAGCUGGUCUGAGAGGAUGAUCAGCCACACUGGAACUGAGACACGGUCCAGACUCCUACGGGAAGCAGCAGUGGGGAAUAUUGGACAAUGGGCGCAAGCCUGAUCCAGCCAUACCGCGUGGGUGAAGAAGGCCUUCGGGUUGUAAAGCCCUUUUGUUGGGAAAGAAAAGCAGCAGGUUAAUACCCCGCUGUUCUGACGGUACCCAAAGAAUAAGCACCGGCUAACUUCGUG